AUUGAACGCUGGCGGCAGGCCUAACACAUGCAAGUCGGACGGUAGCACAGAGGAGCUUGCUCUUCGGGUGACGAGUGGCGGACGGGUGAGUAAUGUCUGGGAAACUGCCCGAUGGAGGGGGAUAACUACUGGAAACGGUAGCUAAUACCGCAUAACGUCGCAAGACCAAAGUGGGGGACCUUCGGGCCUCACACCAUCGGAUGUGCCCAGAUGGGAUUAGCUAGUAGGUGGGGUAAUGGCUCACCUAGGCGACGAUCCCUAGCGGGUCUGAGAGGAUGGCCAGCCACACUGGAACUGAGACACGGUCCAGACUCCUACGGGAGGCAGCAGUGGGGAAUAUUGCACAAUGGGCGCAAGCCUGAUGCAGCCAUGCCGCGUGUAUGAAGAAGGCCUUCGGGUUGUAAAGUACUUUCAGCGGGGAGGAAGGCGGUGGAGUUAAUAACUUCACCGAUUGACGUUACCCGCAGAAGAAGCACCGGCUAACUCCGUGCCAGCCGCCGCCGUAA
Molecule: ribosomal RNA, 506 nt
Filed under: uncultured bacterium
Lineage: Bacteria
Description: partial 16S ribosomal RNA
Rfam family: Bacterial small subunit ribosomal RNA
Source: RNAcentral